This is a transfer RNA of 74 nucleotides. It matches the Rfam family "tRNA". From Rfam's summary of the family: Transfer RNA (tRNA) molecules are approximately 80 nucleotides in length. Their secondary structure includes four short double-helical elements and three loops (D, anti-codon, and T loops). Further hydrogen bonds mediate the characteristic L-shaped molecular structure. tRNAs have two regions of fundamental functional importance: the anti-codon, which is responsible for specific mRNA codon recognition, and the 3' end, to which the tRNAs corresponding amino acid is attached (by aminoacyl-tRNA synthetases). tRNAs cope with the degeneracy of the genetic code in two manners: having more than one tRNA (with a specific anti-codon) for a particular amino acid; and 'wobble' base-pairing, i.e. permitting non-standard base-pairing at the 3rd anti-codon position.
UCCCAAAUAGUCUAGGCGGUUGAGGAUACGUGGCUUUCACCCACGCGACCCGGGUUCGAGUCCCGGUUUGGGAA